UUUUGGCGGCUAUGCAGGAUUGGCAGGAGCUGCGAUGCUCACACUUGCCUCGCCGACCGCCAUUUCACAUCCAGCAGAGGAGGCGGGGGCAGCCGCUGAGACGGUUUUUCACAAGGAAAUGACCUCAUUCUUGAUGGCUGCUGCUAACUUAUGGUGAGAUGCUGGGUCCCUGCCCAAUACCACAUGGACAUCCAAUCAAUUUACCCAGGGACAAGUCCACUCAAGAGCAUCAUUUAGAAGAGGGAAAAGGCACUGGGGUUAUUUGUUUUUGGAGUAUGUGCUUAAGGAAAUCUAGAGUAUUCCCACGAGCAUUCUGCUGAGAUGAACAAUCAGAUGACCUCGUGUGAGAUUUGGAGGAGAGAAGGAAAUGGAGAGCAUGCGUCUGCCGCUUCUGUGGUUUCUGUCGGACAGAUUCCUAUAAGUGAAACUGCUGGGCCAAAGAGGAAGCACAUAUAAAACUGUGAUAGUGAAAUUGCCUUCUGGGAGAUUGCACCAAUUUACACUCCUAUCAAGAGUGAUUGGGAAUAUUCAUUUCUCUCUAACUCCACUAACACUGGAUGUUGUCCAAAGUUUUUAUUUUUGCACAACUAAUCAAGGAAAAGGCUUUCUCCAUAUUUACGUGCUUGUAACUCUGGCAUGACCUUUGCUCCAGUCUCUACCAGAGGGCGGUGCCUGGAUUGAAGUGGAAAAGCCCUGUUUUCCAGCCAUGACCCAGGGAGCAAGCACUGACUCCUCAGGGGAACAGGAGACCUGCCAACUAGGACCCUGGGAGCCCCCAUGCUGGCAGUGCCCUGGGUCAUCUCAGGCUCAUCAGCAAAUCCUGGGGGGAGAGCGGGGCUGGAGGGCGAAGAAGCCCAGGAGAGUUCCUGGCUCAGAACCCCUCUCUGAGGCUCCCAAUACAGAGCCCAGGCCCCACACCCAGGGCCUCUGAGUAUUUUUGUUUAUUGUAUGUAAAAUACUAGUGUAUUUUUGUUUAAGUCUCACAGGUAAACAGGUUCUCUCAUACUUUGCCAAGGGAAAUGUGAUCUGUGCAAUUUGGCAAUAACUAUCAGAAUUUUAAAAGCUUAUGCCCUUUGACCUAGUAAUUUCACUUCUAAGAAUUUCCCCUGCAGAGAUAUGUAUAUCUUGUAUGAAAUGAAGAGGCUACGAAGACAGGCAACGCCGCAGUGUUUAUAAUAGCGAAGACCAGACACAACCCACAUGUCUAAAGGUUCUGAUUUUUAAAACUGUAGUAUAUCUGUACAAUGAGCACUCCACAUCCUUUAAGAAUGAGGAAGGGCUGUGUGAACUGAAAUGGAACUAUCUCUAAGAUUUAUUAAGUUAAAAAAAUUCAAGAGUAGCACAGUGUGUAGGGUAUGCCAUCAUUUGUAUGAUAUAAGGUCGUAUAUCUGCCAUCUCAAAUGAGGAACAGUGGUUGCCUCUGGGAAGGGAAUUGGAUGGCUAGGAAUGGGGUAGGAAAGAGGUUUGCUUUUCAGAACAUUUUAUACUAUUUAAGUUUUGUAACAAGUGCAUCUAUUUUGACUUAAAAGAUAAAAAAUGAAAAGGAAAGGCUCCACUAGUGAUUCUGAUGCUCACAAAGAUUAAGAACCAAUGCGAAUGAGGAACUCAUGACACCGCCCAGGAGACAGUGAACAUAUCUCUUCAAAUAUCAAAAACCUUUCAGCAGAGGGUGAGAACAUGUGCCUGGGGUAAGCAUGGGUGGGCAUGAGCUGGGUACAGAGGUGAUUCCCAGGGACAUACAACUACCUUGCCCUCCUGGGAUCAGGUCUUCCUCCCACCUUAGCCUCCCAUAUUGUUGGGACCACAGGCAUGCACCACCACACCUGGUUAAUUUUUUUUUUUUUUUUUUUUUUGUAGCGACAGAGUCUCGCCAUGUUGCCUAGGCUGGUCUCGAACUCCUGGGCUCAGGCAAUCCUUCUGCCUCGUCCUUCCAAAGUGCUGAGAUUACAGGCAUGAGCCACUGCACCCAGCCUGACAGUAGCUUUUAAUCUCUGGACUCUCAUCACCGUUUGGACUGUGAGCUGUGGUUCUAGCUCUUGGAUCUGAUGGGCAUCUUCCCUCAAAUAUGUCAGUUUCUCUCUCCAGGUCCCUUGCUUUGUCUUCCUUUUUGCCUCCUCGGGCCUGAUACCUUUCUCUGGGCUUCUCUACUCUGCCCCGAGCUGCCUAGUUUUGCGAAUAAUGUCACAUCCAGAUGUCAGCAGCCCUGAUGUCCAUGUGACAAUGCUCCCUUGCUGUCCAUGUGACAAUGCUCCCUUGGUGUCCCAGUGACAGAUUUUCCCAUGCUUCACCCUCUCUCUUUUUUAAUUUUUUUUUCUGUACACAGCUCUCAGUCAAGCCCCUUGAGCUGCCUCCAACUGUUUGCUCAUGUCUGUUCCCAGCAAUCUUUUCCUCUUUUAGCACAAUCUUCCUUAACUUACUAGUUUUUUGAAACAGAGCCUAUUAGUCUUCACAGCGCUACCUUUCUGAUCUCAGAGUUCACCAAAAAGCUUUUCCUCCCAUCAUGCCUGCCUCCCUUUCUUCAGGUCCGUUAGAGUCCACCGUGGCCUGUGUGGGAAGCAAGUCUCUCCCAGGGCACACAUGAACAGACUUCAUGCCCACAUCCACAGUGAACAGUGGCUUCUGCCUUCCAGAUGGGCUUACCCUAAAUCAACACAUAUUCCUAGGAUGUGGGAACAUAUGCAAUACUUAAAUGCACAGGCUCUGGGUUCAGACUCCCUAGGGUUAAAUUCUCCCUGUGCCGGCUAGCUGCAUGAUUAGAUUUGUGAUCUUGACAAAGUUACCUAACGUCUCUGGGCCUCACUUUUCUCAUCUGCAAAAUAGGGAAAAUAGCAACACUUCUCCAUAGGGGUGUGGUGAGGAUAAAGAGUAGAUGUAAAUAAAGUGUUGAAUGUAGAGCCUGGCACAUAUCAAGCUCUUAAAAAGCAAUGGCCAUUUUGUUAUUUUUACCGCAACGACAACUGCAGUUAUUAUCUGGCUUCAGAGCUCUCUUUUUAAAAACAGUAUUCCCUGGUUUUACACCCAGGUGCUAAUACUAUUCUAUGAAGCUAAUGUAUAGAGACCAUAUCUUUUUAACAAACGUGUAUAUAUGAGUCAUUUCCGGCACAUUUGAUACACAUCAUCUCGUUUGGUCCUUAAAACAAGCCUAGGCCAUAAGCAGGGUACGUGUUACCACUUUGCCAUUCCUGUUUUACAGAGGCUUAGACACAUUGAGAAGCUUUUCCAUAGUCACUUAACAAGUGAUGGGUGAAGCCAAAUCAAGCCUUUAGAUCUCCAAGCUCUUUCCAUUAAACCAUAUAAAUCACGGGUUGGCAAACUUUUUCUGCAAAGGGGACAGAUAGUAAAUAGUUUAAGCCUUAUGGGCCACAUGCUGUGUCUGUUUCAUAUUCUGCUCCUUUUUUAUUUUUAUUUUUUUUAAGAAAAGACACCCUUUAAACAUAUAAAAACCAUUCUGAGCAACAGGCUGGUGCUAAAAACAGGUCAUGGUAACCAUUGGCUCUAGGGUUGUAGUUUACUGUUGAUAUAGAUUGUACACUGAUAAGCCAAAAUACAAACCUAAUGAAACUGACAUACUUAAGGAACUUUACUCUUUGUUAGCAAUCAUUGUUAAUAUUUAUUGAAUGGUGACUACGUGGGAAAUGCUGUUCCAAGUGUGAUAGAUAUAUUAACUUACUUAAUCCUCACACCCACUCUAAUUUCCUAAGUACUAUUGUCAGACUCAUUUUACAGACAGGAAAAGCAAGGCAUAGAGAAGGUAAGUAACUUUUCCGAGGUCACAUGGCUAUUAAGUAGCAGAGCUGUGAUUCAAAUAUAAGCGGUUUGGCACCAGAUCCUGUGCACUUAACCGCUUGCAUCUCGGUUGGGAGCACUGACUGGUUCAGCUAUUGGGAGGGAAGAAAGGGGAUGGGGAAGCCACAUAACCCCUAGGAGAUUCUGUAAUAAAUAUGCUUCAGAGCCAUUCACCUUGAAGCUGAGGAGGCAUGGAAGCAGGCCACCUGUGUUCUGUACAGCAUCACCAGGCUGGAAAUCUGCCAUGGCUUUCCUUCACGCCAUCACAAGAGGAUACAGAUGAGGCUGCAGAGGCAUCUUGAUUUGAGAAAAGCAUUUGACUGGAUCUCAUUAAAUUUUAAUCAUUAACUGAAUUCAAAAUAAAUUGAAAACUGGUUGACAGAGCACCAACAAAGGGUGAUGAUAAAUGGUGAUGCAUCUAGAGGGGAGCUAUCUUCCAGGGGACAACUCUAAGGCAAGGACGGAUGGGAUUUAAUGAAGGUGUUAUGUCCCCAGAAGAAGACAAAUAGCACAGCAAGGAACAGAGGAAGGACAGGAGUGAGCAGCCUGAGUAAUUAAUAAACCAUAUUAACAGCUCCUCCAUAAUCAGGCCUUGGUGAUCACAACUGCUUGGAUUUUUUCUUAAGCUUUCUUUGAGUCAGGAAUAGGUUUGAAGCGUCCUAGAGACACACAGCAUGAAUAUUUCAGGUGGACAUUAAAAAGAAAUCUAUAAAUUUACAGCUGGGAGGAUCCUGAGAUCUACUUCGGAUCAGAAACUUUCAAUUACAAGAUUCCCAAGGCCUUACUUCAUUCCCCAGAGAGUAAUCUUUUUAAUAAAUGUCCAAAAGUCAUGGAUUUAAAAAAAAAUCUUUAAACUCAUUAAUGUCCUUUGUUUCCUGCCCAAAUGCAUGCAAACUUUCAUAACACUGGUUUGCUGAGUGGAAGGUUGGUUUUGAGUGAACUGUUUGGCUCAGAUUCAAACUCCAAUGAACAAAUACUUCCAAGUUUACUUGCUGAAUUUCCCAUACAGAGAAGUUCUUCCACUGGGCUUGCCAGAGGAUUUGAAACAGUGGUGAGCCCUGGAAGGAAGGGAAUAUUUACUGGCCCUUGGACAUAAACCCAGCACAGUAAGACUCACAUCAGGCUGAAGGCAGUGCAGUAUGAACCGACCUGAUUUGAGGAAGUUUGCUCUGGGACUCCUCUGAGCUACUAAAUGAGGAGGAGAAGGACUAAUGGGAACACACUGACUCCAUCACAUUAGAAGUUAUAAUAAACAUUUAGAGAACAACCUCAA
RNAcentral lists this long non-coding RNA (5059 nucleotides) under Homo sapiens (human). Its description in RNAcentral is "HSALNT0336229". Lineage: Eukaryota; Metazoa; Chordata; Mammalia; Primates; Hominidae. The record is from RNAcentral.